This 468-nucleotide ribosomal RNA is filed under the name uncultured bacterium. Its description in RNAcentral is "partial 16S ribosomal RNA". It matches the Rfam family "Bacterial small subunit ribosomal RNA", at positions 28 to 507 of the family's 1533-position model. The record is from RNAcentral.
GACGAACGCUGGCGGCGUGCUUAACACAUGCAAGUCGAACGGAAAGGCCCGGCGCUUGUGUGGUGCUCGAGAGGGGAACGGGUGAGUAACACGUGAGUAACCCGUCCCUGACUGAGGGAUAACUCUUGGAAACUGCGUCUCAUACCGGAGAGGAGCUCUUGCUGCGUGGGGUGGGUUGGUAAGAGUCGGCGGUUGGGGAUGGUCUCGCGGCUUAUCAGCUGGUUUGUGAGGUAGGGGCUUACCAGGGCUUUGACGGGUAGCCGGCCUGGGAGCGUGGCCGGCCACAUUGGGCCUGCGAUACGGACCAGUCUCCUACGGGAGGCAGUGGUCGGGAAUAUUGCGCAGUGGGCGGACGCCUGUUGUGGCAACGCCGCGUGCGUAAUGCCGGCUUUCGGGUUAUAAACCGCUUUCGCCUGUGCCGAAGCGUUCGUGACGGUACUGGGUAAAGAAGCACCGGCUAACUACGUG